AUGGCGGCCGGCCCGGAGCGGAGCAGGUGUGCUGCAGCGAUCCUGCAGAGCACAACACAUACGCCCAUCGCCGCCGCCGGAACCAUGGCGACGGAGUCGGAAGGAGACAUGGAGUUCCUCUGGAAGUGGCGCAAGUACCUGCUGCUGCUCGCCACGCUGGUCGCCAGCGUCACCUACGGCGCCGGCCUCAACCCGCCGGGCGGCGUGUGGUCCCAGGACGGAGGCAACGCCCCAGAGGCACAGCACGGCGUCCGCGUCGUUAGGCUUGGCGCCGUCAACCCGCCGGCGCCGGCGGUCUACCCGUUUCGCGUCGGCGACCCCGUGCUCGUGCACACCUACGCUGACAGGUACACCGCCUUCUUCUACUGCAACGCGGCCGCCUUCAUCGCUUCCCUGGUCAUCAUCAUGUUCCUGCUUGACCGGCGUAUCAGCGGCAACCGCGUGGGCCUCACCGUGCUCCGCUCCGCCAUGCUGCUCGACCUGCUCGCCCUCAUGGCCGCCUUCGCCGCCGGGAGCUGCCGCAGCGUGGUUGGGUCCAUCUACGUCUCCGCGCUCUUCGCCCUCGUCUUCGCCUACGUAGCCAUCCACGUCCGCUUGGAAAGGAGCAAGAAGCCGGCGGACGAGAGCCACCUCAAGGAGCGCCGCAAGUUCCUGCUGCUGCUCGCCACCUUCGCGACGCCGCUCACGUACGGCGCAGGUCUGUCGCCGCCGGGAGGCUUCUGGAGCGAGACCGGCGCCGGGCACCGCGCCGGCGCCCCACUGCUGCACGACGGGCCAUACAAGAUCCGCUACCACGCCUUCUUCUACGCCAACGCCAACUCCUUCGUCGCCUCUCUUGCCAUCAUCAUGCUGCUCAUGAGCAGCACGCUGAGCGGCCGCCUCGCCAGGUCCUACGCGCUGCCGGUGUGCGUGCUGGUGGAGCUGCUGGGCCUCAUGGCCGCCUACGCCGCCGGCAGCUGCAGGUGGAUCACCACCACCGUGUACAUCGCCUGCCUCGUCGGCGCCGUGUUCCUCUACAUCCUGCUGCAGGUGGUCAUCGCAGGGUACGUCUCCGGCAUACACAAUGGUGAGACGCCGCAGAGUAAUAAUCCAAAUAAUGAAGAACAACUAGGAGUAGUGCAAGAGGGAGGUGUUGUGACCAGGAGACUCGAAAGCAACAAUGGCCAGCAGGGUGCGGAGAAGGUGGAAGAGUCACGGUCGCUCCUGCUGCUGCUGGCCACGCUGGCGGCGACGGUGACUUACCAGGCGGGGCUGAGCCCACCGGGCGGCGUCUGGCCGGAAGGGCAUCUGGAUAACAGUCACACUGCCGGAAACCCGGUGCUCCACGACAUUAACCCCAAGAGGUAUAAGGCUUUCUACCACUGCAACACCGCGGCGUUUGUGGCGUCGCUCGUAGUCAUCGUCAUCGUCCAGAGCAAGGAGCUGAGUUCCGGCGCCGUCGUCAGGCGCGCCGCGCUUAACACGGUCAUGAUACUGGACCUGUUCGGCCUCAUGGGCGCCUACGUUGCGGGGAGCUGCCGGGACGGCGCAACGACCAUCUACGUUGCCGCCCUAGCCGUCGCCAUCUUCAUCUACUCCAUCGCCUAG
Molecule: ribosomal RNA, 1587 nt
Filed under: Triticum aestivum (bread wheat)
Lineage: Eukaryota; Viridiplantae; Streptophyta; Magnoliopsida; Poales; Poaceae
Description: partial small subunit ribosomal RNA
Source: RNAcentral